This 919-nucleotide ribosomal RNA is filed under the name Aeromicrobium tamlense. Its description in RNAcentral is "bacterial SSU rRNA". It matches the Rfam family "Bacterial small subunit ribosomal RNA", at positions 56 to 990 of the family's 1533-position model. Lineage: Bacteria; Bacillati; Actinomycetota; Actinomycetes; Propionibacteriales; Nocardioidaceae. The record is from RNAcentral.
UGCAGUCGAGCGGUAAGGCCCCUUCGGGGGUACCGAGCGGCGAACGGGUGAGUAACACGUGAGUAACCUGCCCCAUUCUUCGGAAUAACCAGUGGAAACGCUGGCUAAUGCCGAAUAUGACCAUCGAAGGCAUCUUCUGGUGGUGGAAAGCUCCGGCGGAGUGGGAUGGACUCGCGGCCUAUCAGCUUGUUGGUGAGGUAACGGCUCACCAAGGCGACGACGGGUAGCCGGCCUGAGAGGGUGACCGGCCACACUGGGACUGAGACACGGCCCAGACUCCUACGGGAGGCAGCAGUGGGGAAUAUUGGACAAUGGGCGAAAGCCUGAUCCAGCAACGCCGCGUGAGGGAUGACGGCCUUCGGGUUGUAAACCUCUUUCAGCAGGGACGAAGCGAAAGUGACGGUACCUGCAGAAGAAGGACCGGCCAACUACGUGCCAGCAGCCGCGGUAAUACGUAGGGUCCGAGCGUUGUCCGGAAUUAUUGGGCGUAAAGGGCUCGUAGGCGGUUUGUCGCGUCGGGAGUGAAAACUCAGGGCUCAACCCUGAGCGUGCUUACGAUACGGGCAAACUAGAGGUAUGCAGGGGAGAACGGAAUUCCUGGUGUAGCGGUGGAAUGCGCAGAUAUCAGGAGGAACACCGGUGGCGAAGGCGGUUCUCUGGGCAUUACCUGACGCUGAGGAGCGAAAGCAUGGGGAGCGAACAGGAUUAGAUACCCUGGUAGUCCAUGCCGUAAACGUUGGGCGCUAGGUGUGGGGACCUUCCACGGUCUCCGUGCCGCAGCUAACGCAUUAAGCGCCCCGCCUGGGGAGUACGGCCGCAAGGCUAAAACUCAAAGGAAUUGACGGGGGCCCGCACAAGCGGCGGAGCAUGCUGAUUAAUUCGAUGCAACGCGAAGAACCUUACCUGGGUUUGACAUAUG